UGGCUCCUCCUUCAGUAUUUCUCACUCUCCUACACCAAAAGUAUCCAGUGACAUUAAUACCAACAGUGGUAUAGUGGUGAGCGUGUCUGCCUUUCAAGCAGUUGUAGGUACGGCGCAAGUUACAGACCAACAACCAAAGACGAGGUGGCCGAGAGGUUAAGGCGAUGGACUGCUAAUCCAUUGUGCUCUGCACGCAUGG
Xiphias gladius (swordfish) is the source of this 199-nucleotide long non-coding RNA. RefSeq lists it as uncharacterized. The record is from RefSeq and is a predicted model, not a curated record. The transcript is spliced from 3 exons. NCBI's taxonomy places the organism in Eukaryota, Metazoa, Chordata, Actinopteri, Istiophoriformes, Xiphiidae.